GACGAACGCUGGCGGCGUGCUUAACACAUGCAAGUCGAGCGGUAAGGCCCUUUCGGGGGUACACGAGCGGCGAACGGGUGAGUAACACGUGGGUGACCUGCCCUCAGCUCUGGGAUAAGCCUGGGAAACCGGGUCUAAUACCGGAUAUGACUCCAUGACGCAUGUUGUGGGGUGGAAAGCCUUGUGCGGCUGAGGAUGGGCCCGCGGCCUAUCAGCUUGUUGGUGGGGUGAUGGCCUACCAAGGCGACGACGGGUAGCCGGCCUGAGAGGGCGACCGGCCACACUGGGACUGAGACACGGCCCAGACUCCUACGGGAGGCAGCAGCGGGGAAUCUUGCGCAAUGGGCGAAAGCCUGACGCAGCGACGCCGCGUGAGGGAUGACGGCCUGGUU
RNAcentral lists this ribosomal RNA (392 nucleotides) under uncultured bacterium. RNAcentral describes it as "bacterial SSU rRNA". It matches the Rfam family "Bacterial small subunit ribosomal RNA", at positions 28 to 424 of the family's 1533-position model. The record is from RNAcentral.